GUUCCUGUAGUUAAAUUUUUAUUAACGGCGGUUUUUCAGACCGUAGGUCUCGGAGAAAAGCCGAGUAGGAAUU
This 73-nucleotide transfer RNA is filed under the name Hyliota flavigaster. Its description in RNAcentral is "tRNA-Glu". Lineage: Eukaryota; Metazoa; Chordata; Aves; Passeriformes; Hyliotidae. The record is from RNAcentral.